GACGAACGCUGGCGGCGUGCUUAACACAUGCAAGUCGAGCGGUAAGGCCUUUCGGGGUACACGAGCGGCGAACGGGUGAGUAACACGUGGGUGAUCUGCCCUGCACUUCGGGAUAAGCCUGGGAAACUGGGUCUAAUACCGGAUAUGACCUCCUAUCGCAUGGUGGGUGGUGGAAAGAUUUAUCGGUGCAGGAUGGGCCCGCGGCCUAUCAGCUUGUUGGUGGGGUAAUGGCCUACCAAGGCGACGACGGGUAGCCGACCUGAGAGGGUGACCGGCCACACUGGGACUGAGACACGGCCCAGACUCCUACGGGAGGCAGCAGUGGGGAAUAUUGCACAAUGGGCGCAAGCCUGAUGCAGCGACGCCGCGUGAGGGAUGACGGCCUUCGGGUUGUAAACCUCUUUCAGCAGGGACGAAGCGCAAGUGACGGUACCUGCAGAAGAAGCACCGGCUAACUACGUG
Molecule: ribosomal RNA, 462 nt
Filed under: uncultured bacterium
Lineage: Bacteria
Description: partial 16S ribosomal RNA
Rfam family: Bacterial small subunit ribosomal RNA
Source: RNAcentral